This 414-nucleotide ribosomal RNA is filed under the name uncultured bacterium. RNAcentral describes it as "bacterial SSU rRNA". It matches the Rfam family "Bacterial small subunit ribosomal RNA", at positions 355 to 786 of the family's 1533-position model. The record is from RNAcentral.
UGGGGAAUAUUGCACAAUGGGGGAAACCCUGAUGCAGCGACGCCGCGUGAAGGAAGAAGUAUCUCGGUAUGUAAACUUCUAUCAGCAGGGAAGAUAAUGACGGUACCUGACUAAGAAGCCCCGGCUAACUACGUGCCAGCAGCCGCGGUAAUACGUAGGGGGCAAGCGUUAUCCGGAUUUACUGGGUGUAAAGGGAGCGUAGACGGAGAGGCAAGUCUGAUGUGAAAGGCGGGGGCUCAACCCCGGCACUGCAUUGGAAACUGUAUUUCUUGAGUGCCGGAGGGGUAAGCGGAAUUCCUAGUGUAGCGGUGAAAUGCGUAGAUAUUAGGAGGAACACCAGUGGCGAAGGCGGCUUACUGGACGGCAACUGACGUUGAGGCUCGAAAGCGUGGGGAGCAAACAGGAUUAGAUACC